GACCGGACUUCGCCCUAGGGCCCGGGCAUCACACGCAGCUGAGCCCACAGAGGCCCCGCGAGCGGGCGCCGCGUGGCGGAGUGAGCUGAAGCUGCAGCCUGGGACCCGAUCGAUCGUGAGGAAAGACGCGGCCACACUGUCCCGAGGCAAUGAGGACCGAGGUUUGCAAGCCACUUGUCAGAACAAAGCACUUAAGAAAUUUUACUGUUAUCGUGGCCCCCUUUACUACUCGGACUCCCUUGCCUUUCGAUCUCAGAAUCACCACUAGCUCCCUUCGGAUUAAGCAAGAAUUGAUUAAGCGGGGCUUUUAGUUGGACACUGAAAGCUGAGAUGCAGAUAGUGAUUCUGGAAGAGGGUCAGUAAUGCGCCCAAACGUGCCCAUCCUGGAACCCUUGGUCUACACAGGACCCACUAGGCACACCUACAGCGUACCAAGCUCGGUAGCUCACCUCAGGGCAGCCCCUCACAACCUAGUACACAUCAGGAUUACCUGAGGAGUUCCUGAAGCUGCAGACUGAGUGAAGGGAUACAGGAAUAGCAGUCUGGCCAAGCUCUCCAGAUGACUUUAAUACAAGUGGUCCACUGACCCCACAAUAAGAAACAUGCUCUUGAAAAAAGUUUCAAACUCCAGGCAUAUAAUCUGCGAUCCGGCCAAAGAGCAGCCGUCCGACUCCUGAAGUGAUGCCAAUGCACAUGAGAACCACCUCUUUAUUUUUUCCGUCUUGAAAUCUUUCAUUCACAUAUUUCAUCUGUGGACCAUCAAGAAAGAAGCAACACUAAAUGCGGAGGACCUGAACCAAACUGACACUCCUGAAACAGCUGGAGUGGAGCUUCCAGGAUAAAGCAGAAGUACAUAAAUAUCUUAUUUAAAAGUCACACUCUUCAGAGGAGCCAGGCUCAAGCCCUGGCCAUACCAGCUACCAGCCUUGCAUGAUUGCCUAUCUCACAGUGUGGCCCUGAGACUCCAGUGAAAGAUAACGUUUGUGGGAACUUCUUGUAUGUCAAACGUCAAUAAAAAGGUGGGAAAUCAGUAAAUGUUGCAUUUGUUUAAGAAACUGGUGGUUUUAAGCAAAUCCUUCCAUGGCUGUGAGGACUGGACACGCUGAAUCCUAAACCACAUGCUCGGGAGCUCUGGACGCGGCAGCUGUUCCUGCCGUGUUACUCCAAGAAUGAAUCUGUUCAAUUAGACAUGGGUGCAGACACAGCUGGCCUGCAGACCUGCACACCAGCUGUCCAUGUUUGCAGUUCUGCCUCCACAUGGCAGGCACUGCCUACCAGUAAAUGGGCUUUUCUCCAGUUUGUUACAAAGGAAUAUAAACUUCCUGAUUAUGAGUGAGCUGUAAAAAACUAGAUACAGAUAACGGGGACAGAAAGCAGGAAAAGCAAAGGGGAAAUGGACAGUGGCAUGGGCAGUCUGGGGUCUAAUACAUAAGAGAUGUGCAUCCCUCAAACUGGCUUUGGGCACUAAAGACUCUUCCCUUCAGGACAAAUAUAUAACUAAGGCCUAUUCUGCUCUGUAAUCCUGGAGUUAGUGUCUACAAUGGCUUCUCCAAAAGAGAUGCUCCAGAAUUUGGAGAUAAGGAUAAAUUAGCAGAAAUGUACUCUCAAUGGAUCAGACAACUCUGUCCACCUGCCAGAAUCACCCAGUAAAUAUGGGGUAAAGCCAAUGUCCAAGUAUAGCCUCACAAAGGGAAGAUUCUUCAAAUAAUAUUUUUAUUUCUAUUCAUCUUCUAAUUGAUAUAAAAACCACAAUAGGACCCUCACCAGCUAAUUUAGGUCCUUCAAACUUCAACAAACUUUAAUUUGAUACCAAUCCAAACAAUUGAGGGAUAAGCAAAUAUCCACAUAAUGGUUAAAUUUUGAAAUUAUUCAAAAUUAUAUUUUAACAAAUAAAACCUGAGAUACUUAAAAACAAAACAAAAACCCUGGUGACACUAGACAUUAACAAGAGAGAGGGAACAGCUUUCCAACACCAGGACUCUUUAGGGCCUUCUCAGGACACUAAUGAUCAGUGAUGGACGGAUACUUUAUAACUCUAAAAUAUAAGCAAUUUACUUUUUUUCCAUUUUCCUGUAAUAGUACUUAUGUUAACCAAAAGAGGCUGGAUCUUGUAAAUUUUUACAUUUGUCCAUUUUUUUCUUCUGCCAUGCUUAAUGUUUAUUGUAGAACUCAAAACCUAAUGCAAAACUGUGCAUAUUCCCUAUUCUGCUUGUCACAGGUUGUGAAAAGCGAUUCAGUUUUCUCAUAUUGACAAUGUAGUAGAGAUGAGAAGAGUUGACGUACGGCUGGAAAUACGGUUACAUGACACCCUCUCCUUUACAUCACAUCAGAACAGAAGCCUGUUUCCUCCACGGUCCUGUCCAUGGCUGCACAGCAGGCUCUGAGAGCUGCACUGGCCCAGCAACGCCUCUGUUCUUAGUUCUGAGAAUGGAAGGGAAACUUCCAAGGCAAAGGAAACUUGGCCUGAUAACAGGCAGCACUCCAUCUGUGGGGUGACUUGAUGAAGGGACAGCAGACUCUUUCAUAAAAAGAACAUGAGACUUAGACUCCAACACUUGUGUUCAAAUCCCAGCUCUGAGCAUAACUCAGUGAGUGACGUUGAACUCAGCACAGUCAUUUCCUUAGCCCUAACUUUGAUACACUUGAUACACUCAUCCUUGUGAUGGUUAUGUGAGAUUUUGUGAAAAUGCCUGAUACAUUAUGGAUUCUCCCUGAAUCUCCCUCUGAGGAAGCCUCAAACUGAUGAAAGCAUGUAUGCUGUUCUUGUUUGCAUGGCUCAGCACCCUGAGGUCUGGUUUACAGAAUUCCUGCUUUCACAAUAUGAAGAGAAGGGCCCUGGCCAGUGAGGUCUAACAGUGACAUUUCUGUAUUGGCCCAUGAGAACAUCUGGCAUUAAUCAAAGCUAUAAAAUGUCUCUUGAGGUACUAUAUGCCCUGUUUAUUGGCAUAUUGGUCUUAAAAUUUCACUCCUAGUUUAAAAAUAUAAAUUGUUUGUCCCCAAUUAC
This is a long non-coding RNA of Felis catus (domestic cat), 3004 nucleotides long. RefSeq lists it as uncharacterized. The record is from RefSeq and is a predicted model, not a curated record. Lineage: Eukaryota; Metazoa; Chordata; Mammalia; Carnivora; Felidae. The transcript has 7 exons.